UAUUUGGGCUACAGCCAUCUUAAUCCACUGACCUUGACUGCAAUGCAGCAGGUAAACAUUACAGCUGAUCACCUCGGCGCCACGGCACAGCACGACGCGAGCCGGUAUCUCGACACAACAGGUCUUUUUCUGAGUGCUAAGCAGGGACCUGGGGAGAGACUGAGCCCGAGAUAACAUAAUAUAGCUGCCUGGGAGCUCAUCCUUCCUGCCGAAAGCUCUGAAUGUCAAGUCUUUUUUCACACGGCGCACGGAAGUGGAUAGAAGGAAGCGGGAGACAGGAGGUCACAAAACAAAAAUGCACUGAUGCGGUGGGACCUCGGCGCAGAGCAAGAGGGAUGAAGGAGUCUUUCUCAGCUUUCAAAUGAGAGUCAGCAUCUUUCAGGAGAACCAAUUCCCGAAGUGAAGUCUGCCCGGGAAUUUCAUCAAGCCAAAUCCAGAGCAACAGGAAGACGAGGAUGAAAACCAGCCGGAGCUCCCCUGAUGGCCAAGGCUCUUUUGAAGCUCCCUCCAACUGCCUGAGGAAGUCUCACAAGCUGGAUUUGUGCAGGAUGAAGACAAACGGUGUACUUUGGGUCACAUCCGAUUAAACCAACAGUGAAUGAAUUAUAACAGUGAUUCAUGAUCAACAAGGUUUUCCCUGCUCGGUUCUUUUAUUAAGAGUAAUAUUACAUAAACAGGCUUGAAGCUUUUGUCUGAGGAGUUUUUAAAAAAAACAAAAACACUAAUUUGCUGCAUUUUGUGACAGAACAAUGCAAAAAGUACAGGUGAAUUGUGGCUGAGGAACACCGAGUGUUUACUGAACCAGCGCUGACCUUGGCUCAUGUUGAUGCAUUUUUAUGUAGGCUUACAAGACUGUUUACUUUCUGAGGUCAAAUACGGUCAGACCAAGAGGAAUAAGGUGGCUUUUUUUUUUUCAAAAAGCAAUGUAAAAUAGGACAUAGUGUUGCUUACCCAGAACCUGCCUUAACCUUCAGUUGAUCUGAAAUUCAUAUUGUGCCAUUUUAACAUAUUUUGCGUGAUAGUUAAGAUCAAUCGAAGAAAUAAAGUAAAGCAACAAACAGUGACACAACCUAAAACACAUUCAGCAUCUAUGUACUUCACAAAAAAUCUGCAUCUUAGAUAUAUUUAGUAUACAAACAAGGGAUUAUUCAGCCAUCUUUGACCACACACAGCAAAAAGCAGCCAGUCGACCAGGAAAGCAGGGAUUUAGUAAAUAUCUCAUGAACAAUAACACUGUAACAAAGUUCUGGCCUUGAUAUAAAAGCAAACAGCAGUUCUGAGUUGUAAUCCAAAGGCCCCAGAGCCCUGGUUUGUUUUCACUCCAACUAAUAGUGCUGGCUUUGGCUUGGGUGGCGCCCUAGGUGAGAUCUGAAUAAUGCAAGAACGAGUCAACAGAAGCAUUUGCACUAAUUUAACCAACAUCCAGAGCUUGCUUUUAAGUCCAAAUCUUGUGAUGUUAAGCCUGAAGUCACUCAGGACCCUAAGGAUAAAUCCAAGUUAAGUUAAGGGUCUGCAAGCAAAUUGCAAAUCUUUCUUCUCUAAGGUCUUUCAGGUCUGGAUGCUAACAACUGCGGCAGCCUGUGUGCACUCAAGCAGAGCUUUUUAUUUUAUUUUUUGCAAAAAUUCAAGAAAACAUGACGUUAAGUGAGAACGUGUUACUGCUUAAGCGUGUCUCUGGGGUUUCAGAGUUUGUAAUAACACUAUUUUGCAUUUUAUUAAUGUCUGUGUUUGUAUUUGCAAAGAACUCAUCUCAAAAUCGUACCUUUAAAUAACA
This is a long non-coding RNA of Acanthochromis polyacanthus (spiny chromis), 1774 nucleotides long. RefSeq lists it as uncharacterized. NCBI's taxonomy places the organism in Eukaryota, Metazoa, Chordata, Actinopteri, Pomacentridae. The record is from RefSeq and is a predicted model, not a curated record. The transcript is spliced from 2 exons.